UAUCUUGACUAUUGAUAAUGGAGUUUUUGAGAUGUAGAGGAAUAAAUGAUUCUGGUUUUGGAGAAGUGAUGAUGAUGAAAAUGGAGGAACAAAUGGUUCUGGUUUUGGAGAAUUGAUGAUGAAGAAAAUGAAGGUGGUCACCACGACGAUGAUAAUAAUGAUUCGUUCUCUUUGUUCUGUGAUAUAUACUAAUAUUAUAGGUUGGGAUAACGUAGUUGAUGUAGAACCAGGGAGAAGAGAGUUUGAAUCUUUCCAUCUAGAGACGCAAUACUUCCAUGAUCAUGCAACUUUCACAGUAGUUGUUGGCCUGAACCAGCAGUGCGAGCAAGUGAAUGCUCCUGAUCCAAUUAUCAACACUUGCAGUGACUUUUACAAAUUCUGGCAGGCAACCCAUGAUUUGCACGAGGCCAUAAAUCUCUGUUAUGCAGCAUCGAUAGCAACUAAUCCUAUGGAAGAUAAUCUUGGUGAUAACUUAGAGUUUCUGUGCUUAUGGAAUGUUAUGACGUACUGAGAUUCUCCAUGGAAAGUGGUGCCAAGGGUUGCAAGGUUCUGUUCAUGUCCUGGUUACUUUGGGGAUUAUACCAUUGUGAGAGGCAUGGUAGUCUCAAUGGUAGAGAAGUGUCUUAGGGCUGUGGUAACAGGCAAGAGGGUUGAAGAAGCAUUUGAAGAGGAUCAAUGCGCUUAAGCAUUGCAUGCUUGGCAAGCUUGGUGGUGCCUUUAUAAGUCCUGCUGGAAUCCUCCGUUGUGCUCAAGGAUGUGUUUUGCUUGACAGAGACGGGGUUCGCAGAAAAGAAAAGCUACACAUUUAUUACAAUUUAUUCUCAAACUCAAAGAAGUAGCUGAAGAUAUUUAGAAGGUUGUUGCUGCCUAUGACCGCAAAAUUGCUUAUGGUGUGCUCAGCCAUCAGCUGAAGCAGUUUGUGGUAGAUGAGAACAAGGUUGUACUCAUUAUUCCAGGUCCCGAUACCAGAUUCAAUGAUGCUGAAUUUCAAGAAAUAUAGCUAGCUUGGACAUGUGUUGUUCUGAACUAAGAAUUUCAUUCUUAUGUGUAAUUUAAACCCAAUGAAUGAAAGAAUGGAAGUUGAAUUCUCAA
Long non-coding RNA from Papaver somniferum (opium poppy), 1092 nucleotides. RefSeq lists it as uncharacterized. The record is from RefSeq and is a predicted model, not a curated record. NCBI's taxonomy places the organism in Eukaryota, Viridiplantae, Streptophyta, Magnoliopsida, Ranunculales, Papaveraceae. The transcript has 10 exons.